RNAcentral lists this ribosomal RNA (478 nucleotides) under uncultured bacterium. Its description in RNAcentral is "partial 16S ribosomal RNA". It matches the Rfam family "Bacterial small subunit ribosomal RNA", at positions 28 to 523 of the family's 1533-position model. The record is from RNAcentral.
GACGAACGCUGGCGGCGUGCUUAACACAUGCAAGUCGAACGGUAAGGCCCUUCGGGGUACUCGAGCGGCGAACGGGUGAGUAACACGUGAGUAAUCUGCCCUGCACUCUGGGAUAGCCUUGGGAAACUGAGAUUAAUACCGGAUAUGUUCACUUCCCGCAUGGGAUGGUGGUGGAAAGUUUUUCGGUGCAGGAUGUGCUCGCGGCCUAUCAGCUUGUUGGUGGGGUAAUGGCCUACCAAGGCUUCGACGGGUAGCCGGCCUGAGAGGGUGACCGGCCACACUGGGACUGAGACACGGCCCAGACUCCUACGGGAGGCAGCAGUGGGGAAUAUUGGACAAUGGGCGGAAGCCUGAUCCAGCAACGCCGCGUGAGGGAUGACGGCCUUCGGGUUGUAAACCUCUUUCAGCACAGACGAAGCGCAAGUGACGGUAUGUGCAGAAGAAGGACCGGCCAACUACGUGCCAGCAGCCGCAGUAA